This 377-nucleotide ribosomal RNA is filed under the name uncultured cyanobacterium. Its description in RNAcentral is "bacterial SSU rRNA". It matches the Rfam family "Bacterial small subunit ribosomal RNA", at positions 376 to 770 of the family's 1533-position model. Lineage: Bacteria; Bacillati; Cyanobacteriota. The record is from RNAcentral.
CGAAAGCCUGACGGAGCAACGCCGCGUGAGGGAGGAAGGCUCUUGGGUUGUAAACCUCUCUUCUCAAGGAAGAUAAUGACGGUACUUGAGGAAUCAGCAUCGGCUAACUCCGUGCCAGCAGCCGCGGUAAUACGGAGGAUGCAAGCGUUAUCCGGAAUAAUUGGGCGUAAAGCGUUCGUAGGUGGUGAUGUAAGUCUGCUGUUAAAGCGUGUAGCUUAACUACAUAUAGGCGGUGGAAACUACAUGACUAGAGUGCGUUCGGGGCAGAGGGAAUUCCUGGUGUAGCGGUGGAAUGCGUAGAUAUCAGGAAGAACACCGGUGGCGAAGGCGCUCUGCUAGGCCGUAACUGACACUGAGGGACGAAAGCUAGGGGAGCG